CCUGAAAGAUUAUAGGAGGUCCAGCCUGCCCAGUGAUAAAAUUAAACGGCCGCGGUACCCUAACCGUGCGAAGGUAGCGCAAUCACUUGUUCUUUAAAUGAGGACUAGUAUGAACGGCAUCACGAGGAUUAUACUGUCUCCCUUCUUUAAUCAGUGAAACUGAUCCCCCCGUGAAGAAGCGGGAAUAAACAUAUAAGACGAGAAGACCCUAUGGAGCUUUAAACUUAACACCACUUAUCUAAAACACUUCAUAAUAAACAGAUAAGCUUGUGCACAUUUUAGGUUGGGGUGACCGCGGAGUAAAAUUUAACCUCCACGUUGAAAGGCCUUUAUCCUUAUCCAAGAGCCACAUCUCCAAGAAUCAACAAAUUGACAUUUAUUGACCCAAAUUUUUUUGAUCAACGAAC
This 407-nucleotide ribosomal RNA is filed under the name Chiasmocleis shudikarensis group sp. ABGD cluster 25. RNAcentral's name for it is "partial large subunit ribosomal RNA". It matches the Rfam family "Bacterial large subunit ribosomal RNA", at positions 1834 to 2457 of the family's 2925-position model. Lineage: Eukaryota; Metazoa; Chordata; Amphibia; Anura; Microhylidae. The record is from RNAcentral.